RNAcentral lists this long non-coding RNA (1371 nucleotides) under Carica papaya (papaya). RNAcentral's name for it is "long non-coding RNA (CPAP_LNC006107)". The record is from RNAcentral. Lineage: Eukaryota; Viridiplantae; Streptophyta; Magnoliopsida; Brassicales; Caricaceae.
CAUAAUUUGAAAAAAUUGAGACAUAUAGGAUUGCAAAGUAUAGAAAAAAUUAGAAUAUGAAGACAUAAAACGACACCGGAUAUGUCGUAAAACGUGGGGACCCACCCAAUCCACUGCAGUUAUCAUCUUGGAGAUGAAAAACCAAGUUAUUAUUCUCUGACACUCCAUUCUUGUAUUUCAUUGUCUUUUGAUUCCCCAAUAAAUAGUCACCUUCAUUUACUUUGACCAACUCCCACAAUAUAUAUAUAUAUAUAUGUAUUAAAAAAAAAUCUAAAUCAUAUGUAAAAAUACUUCCAUGAUCUUCAGAAUUUGGUGGUGAUCUUAUAAUUUAAUAAUAUAUUUUUGCAUAUUAAGAAUGUGCCUGAAAUAAUUAAAAGUCAAUUUCAUACAAUUAAUAUAACUGAAUUAAAUUAUAGUUAUUCUAAAUUUACUGAAAUAUAUUAUUAUGUCCAAAAAAGAAUUUUUACUCAGUAAAACUUAUUUGAGUAAAUAGUUAAAAUACGUGAAAUUGUUUUUACCUCAUUCUCCACGUCAGCACCUGAUAUUCCCCUUGCCCCUUCAAUCCAACGGUGCAGAUCAUCUCUACCUUUCACAGAUCUACAAAUCCCCUCCGUUCAAUCUUCUUUAUUAUGUUCCUUACCGCCUCACAAUCUUCUUUACUCACUGGGUAGCAGAGAAGAAACAGGCCAACGAGGGAAAACUUCAGAUUAAUGUCGUAAAGAGUGGAGAAUCGUGAGUUGAGAAACUCGCCGUGAGUCAACUGGGACGAUCUCUUUCUCUGCUCCUCAAGCUUCUCUCGCAUCGAGAUCUGCCUUUUACACCUUUUUAUUUGAUUCACGAAGAAACUUCAAAAUGGAACGUUGGAAACUCUGCUAGAGAGGCGAGGAGUAGAGAGAGAGAGAGAGAGAGAGAGUCGAGCUGCACAGAGAGGCUUUCGGGCGCGCGCGAAUCUCAGUAAAAUUGCAGGGCUUUUUUGCUUUUUUUUUUAUGGUUUUGUUUGACGGCUUAGAAGAGAUGAUUGCGGAUCUUAUGUGGUAUUUCUGCAUUCCUCUCAGUUGCUCUGCUAUCUUCUUCCUCUCUGGUCUCUUCUCUCUCUCCUUUAUACUGGUGAUGUAUCUCUCCUCAAUCUAUUAUAGUGAUCUGGACGAUCUGGGGAAAAAUAGUAGGGUUUAUUUAAAAAUAAUUUAAUAGUUUAGAAUUAAAAGAUAUAUAUAUAUAUAUAUAUAUAUAUAAAGAGUUUUAAACAUAAAAUUUUGAAUUGUAUAGUAACUAUUUAAACCUAUUUAAAUAUAUUUAUGUACAGUAUAUAAAACAUAAUAUUUAUUAAGUCAUGUUAAAUAUUAAAAAGUUAAUUAAUUUUUGACACAUAUU